Molecule: ribosomal RNA, 159 nt
Filed under: Athelia epiphylla
Lineage: Eukaryota; Fungi; Basidiomycota; Agaricomycetes; Atheliales; Atheliaceae
Also listed under: 16 other names
Description: 5.8S ribosomal RNA
Rfam family: 5.8S ribosomal RNA
About the family: 5.8S ribosomal RNA (5.8S rRNA) is a component of the large subunit of the eukaryotic ribosome. It is transcribed by RNA polymerase I as part of the 45S precursor that also contains 18S and 28S rRNA.
Source: RNAcentral
CAACUUUCAACAACGGAUCUCUUGGCUCUCGCAUCGAUGAAGAACGCAGCGAAAUGCGAUAAGUAAUGUGAAUUGCAGAUUUUCAGUGAAUCAUCGAAUCUUUGAACGCACCUUGCGCUCCUUGGUAUUCCGAGGAGCAUGCCUGUUUGAGUGUCAUUA